Molecule: long non-coding RNA, 359 nt
Filed under: Trifolium pratense (red clover)
Lineage: Eukaryota; Viridiplantae; Streptophyta; Magnoliopsida; Fabales; Fabaceae
Description: long non-coding RNA (TPRA_LNC004095)
Source: RNAcentral
CCGUUUGCUUUCUUUUUGGCAACAGUACAACACAAUUCUUUCAUCUUUUUAUUUCUUUUUUUUUUUCUUUCAUUUUCUCUAUUCUAGUCAUCUAAUUCAUUCACUUAUUUUCUUUUAUUGUAACAUGUAAAUAAACAACUCUAAAAUCUUCUUUUUGAUUCUUGAAAGUAUGUAUGGCAUAGGUAUUGUUCUUUCUUCUCUACUUUUUUUUUUUUUCUAGAUCUUCAUCUUCUUUAUUCUCACUCUCUCCAUGUGGUCGAAAAUAUCCUUCAAAUCUUGUUAUUGAUGAUUCUCCGGUUCUGAUCCGACUGAAAUGACCAUUGCUCACCUUCUCUGUUCUCACUUCUAUUUUCAUCUUC